This 930-nucleotide long non-coding RNA is filed under the name Marmota monax (woodchuck). Lineage: Eukaryota; Metazoa; Chordata; Mammalia; Rodentia; Sciuridae. The record is from RNAcentral.
CGGAGUGUCUGCCGCCAGGUUUCCGGCUGUAGAGCUGAGGUCGCUGGCGGCCGGGGUCCCGACGCCAGGUUGCGGCGAGCGGGGCGGUUCCGGAGCAUCCCCUAUGCGGAGCGCGGCCUGGCGAGGCGUCACCCCGGGAGCCCCGAGCCCGAGGAGAUCUCCUGGAGACUGCACCCAUCCUGGGGAGAAGAGCCCAAAAAGAGAACAUGGCUCCUGAGCAAAGGGAAUCAAGGUCUCAGGUAUCGGUAACAUUUGAGGAUGUGGCUGUGCUCUUUACUCGGGAUGAGUGGAGAAAGCUGGAUCCUUCCCAGAGAAGCUUGUACCGGGAGGUGAUGCUGGAGAACUGUAGUAACCUGGCCUCACUGGGACCCCCAUUCACCAAACCAAAGGUGAUCUCCCUGUUGCAACAAGGAGAAGAUCCCUGGAAGGUAGAGAAAGAAAGUCCCGGAGACUCUUCUCUCGGAUAUAAGAGCAGUCUUCAAACCACAAAGUCAACUCAAACUAAAGACUUCACAUUUCAAGGGCUGAGGAGGAAAAGACUAAAAAGGGAUGAACUCUGGGACGUUAUAUCAGAGAAACCCUGUAUAUCUGAAAACAGGUUAAAAAGACAGCAAGACAAAAAUGAAAGCUUAAAAAUAUUUUCAGUUACCCAUAAGAAAAUUCUUACUAUAGACAAAAGCCAUAAAAAUUUUGAAUUUGGCCAAAAUGUCAGCCUAAAAUCAGUCAUAUUUAAGAAACAAAGGAUUUCUAGAGAAAGAACACCCUUAACGUAUGAAAUACAAAGAAAUAAUUUCAAACAGAAUGCAAAUUUACUUAACCAACCAAAAAUCAAGACAGCAGAGAAACGCUAUAAAUGUAAUAGAUGUGAAAAAGCUUUCAUUCACAAUUCAUCCCUUCGUAAACAUCUGAAAAAUCACACUGGAGAGAAAU